Oreochromis niloticus (Nile tilapia) is the source of this 5076-nucleotide long non-coding RNA. Lineage: Eukaryota; Metazoa; Chordata; Actinopteri; Cichliformes; Cichlidae. The record is from Ensembl.
GACUUCCUUAUAAGACGCUAAAAUUAAAGUAUGGCGUUUGAGGGAGCUGGAUGAGUAGACCUUUACACACAGUCAGUGACUUUCAGCUUUAUUUAAGCUUUAAUUUAUCCUGAUGUAGUCAACGUUUAAACUUAGGUUCUGUUUUGUAUUUAAAAUACCAACAAGCUCAGACAUUUUGAAAAACGAAGAAACAGAUCAGCAGGAGUAGAUAACACAGAAAUGUCUGCAGUAACUUUGUCGCUCUGCUCGACUUUCCUGUUUUUUGGCGUUUUAAUGUUUGUCUCUGCAGAACAGAAAACCAUCACAGCUGAUUCUGGACAGGACGUCACUCUGACAUGUCGAGCUCCAGACAACAAAAUCAUAGCUUUAGUUUGGAUCAGAGCUGACCUGAAGACAGCAAAUGUGCUUUUCUAUGAGAAUGGGAGGUUUGUUCCAGAUGAUCAACAUCCAUUUUAUAAGAACCGGGUGGAUAUGCUGGACAGACAGAUGAAGGAUGGAGAACUAUCUGUGACUCUGAAGGAUGUGACAACUAAUGAUACUGGCACAUACGAGUGUCAUGUUGUCCAAGGAGUUGGAAAACAUUUAACUCUCAUAAGCAACAUCUAUCUUUAUGUUGUUCCUCCAGGUCAGACAGGAGGAGACAUAGAGGAUGGAUCUCUUGGACUGAUCCUUCGUCUGUCAGUUCCUGCUGUGGUUCUGGUGUUAAUUAUCCUUAAACUACAUAAACAUUGUGCGACAUUUUGGAAGCUGUGAUCCAUAGUUGCAGGGGGGCUGAUCAGGCAGAUUUUAUUCACUUUGCUGCACCACCUGUCCUCUACAGCUGAGCUAUAGAGCACACCUCCACCACACAGGUCCCAUACCCGACUGAGGCCAGGGACCCAUCAAGCCAAGCCUAUCCCUGUCCUGUGAGCAGGAGAAAAUAAUCAGCCAUUACCAUCUGUGCCCCGGGCCUGUGGACCACCUUGAAGUUAAAUGGGUGUAGGGCCAGAUAAUACUGGGUGAUCUGAGUGUUGGCAUCUUUCAUGUGGUGGAGCCACUGUAGCAAUAAAUGGUCUGAAAAGUUCAUUUUAUUUAUAUAGGACAUGUAAUUACAACAGUAAUGCUGUGGUGUAAUCCAGUGCUGUACAGAAGUACAAAACUAUUACUACGAAAUACAAUAUAACGUAAAAUAUUAUUACCAAAAUGAUCUCAUACUGUAUUAAAAGCCAGUGAAUACAAAUGUGUUUUUAGAUUAGAUUUGAAGAGAUUGAUGAUAGGAGCCUGUCUGAUGUGUAGAGUUAGAUUAUUCACUUCGGCACGCAGGCUGCAUGGUCCUGCGUGCUGGCCAUCUGCCCAGCUGCCUGUGAGCCCCAGCUCACUUCCACGCCUGCUGCGCCGCCACUGCUUGCCAUAUGGGUGGCCAUCAGGCUAGCUCCGGGGCUUCCGCUGGAGGCACGGGCGACCGCCAGAGUGGACACUUCCCCGUCGCUGGGAUGGGGCAUGGGGCGCCGAUGGUCCGGGCCGAUUCCCUCGCCUGCUUCCGGGGUGAGGUGAAGCGGGCGAGGGGGUAUGUGGCAGGGCGUGUUCUGUGAUGUCGCUGCAGGUUUGGUGGUGGUGAUGUGUACAGCUGCCAGUGGAAUGUACUGUAUUGAAUGUACUGUUACAGCAACCGUGUGACUAUUGUAAGAAUAAAUGAUGCUGCAAAGCAUGAAAAUGCCUUCGGGUCUGCCAUGGUGGCGAUCUUUUUUUUUUUUUUUUAAAUCUUAAGUAAACAAACCAGUAAACAAAUUAAAACAAAUACUGUCGAUAAACUAUAAUACGAAAAUUACAAUUAAGAUUCUCAACAACAAAAACAAAAACAAAAAAAUAUAAUUAAUAUGUAAACAACUUAACAACCCCCAAAGUGUCGAAGUCACGUGACGUGUCAGUGCAACACCGAAACAUAAGAGUGGGGGAGGGGGAGCAAAGUGUGUCUGCUCUCCGCUGACACAGGAGCGGUGAGUCCAGUGACCUGGUUGUUUUGUUUUUGCCAAAAGCUCAGCAUAGCAAACAAGCAGAACUCAAAGUAAAGAAUCGAUCUCACCAGGCUAGUAUCGAUCCGAUACCGAUGCCGACGCCGACUUGGGAUCGAUACUAUCGAUAUUUGGAUCGAUCCGCCCACCACUAGCAUGCACUUGUUGCUCAUUCACUUAACCAUGCCACAAGGAAGCAGCUCAUGCGUCCAGUCUCUGCCAGACUGUCUGCAUAUCGAGUGCAGUAAUCAGGCUCCUCAAUGCAUGUGUUUAUGUACUUUGUUCCAAAGAUGUCUCUCUCUCUCUCUCUCUCUCUCUCUCUCUCUCUCUGGGUGAAUGGCAGAGUGAAUGGUGCUGGGGACGGGAGUGUAGGAGUGAGUGGAUUUCUGUUUUCGAAUACCUUUUUUCUAUUUUUACUGUCAGGUGUGAUUAUUUUUUCAACACACGGUUGUUAAUUUGUUUUGUUUGUUGCCGGCUGGUUUGGUAGCUUUUGCUGCCAGCUUGGCUCGGCACAAUGCCCGCUGUUGAGGGUGAUGCAGAGUUUGAAAAGCUGACACACCGUCAUGCUGUCAAACUUAUACCGACUGUGAAUUGCUAGGUGGAAGAAGCUGUUUUGGCUGUAGGAGAGGUGGUGGGCUAUGACAGCGUGAAAUCUGCCUGAAUCAGAAAAUCAGGCUUUCAUUUCAGCCUGCAUCCAUGGAAUGGACUCAGUUUAUCUCGAUAUCCUGAUUACAUCGUUUCUCAACUACCUCCCUGUUGUUGAGAGAUCAGCUGUUGAGAAGGCUCUGCUGGCACAUUGGAUGAAAAUGAUGAAGAUGACCUGCUUGACCUUUUUACAAGGAUGGGUUUCCACUUCCUACCACCUAAGAACAACAUGCAGCCUGCCAUUGAAACAAUGGCUCAUAAGGCUCAUGGCCAUUCUCCAAGAGCCAAAGUGGAUUGCUUCUCCACACCCAUGUCUGCAGCUGAAACUGUCAGACAAGGAAAGUGUGUUGUCUCUGUAUGAGACAAAGAAGAGAACACACAACCUUUAACCAUCUUCACGUUAUGUCAAAAACACUGAUGAAACCAAAGUCCAAAAAUACAUAAAGACAUACAUAAAGCAUUAAGUUCCAUUGGAAUCAAGAGAAAGGUAUGUUUCUACAAUAUCUCCAAAAUUAGUCAACUCACACUAAAACAAUCUGGAUUAAUGAGUGGUACAGCUGGUGAGAAGAAACAUGAUUUUAGGGUUAAAGGUCCAUUAAUGUUUGUAACAAAUGUCUCUUUAUGGUUGAGAAAAAAGUGAUAAAAAGUUAAUGAUCAGACCCAUUUUACAAAUUCUAAAAGCUGAUGUGUGAAAUGUGGCCUCUAAACAUCAUCUUGCAACAAUAAGUCAUAGUCUGCUUCAUUAGCUUCCAAGAUGUUUACUAGUUGUUUUGUUAAAAAAAACAUUGCCAUCACAUGUUAUCCUUUUUAAAAGGACUUUGCCAAAAUAUGACAUACAGAUAGUCUACAUUUUUUAUGCUGUUUUACAUAAUUAGAAAUGACCAAGCAACAAUUUUCUGAUUUUUUUUUUAAUUGUUUUGAAUAAUCAAGAUGGUAGGCCUCAAUUUCACAAUUAUUAAAUAAUAUAUAUAGUCAUUUAGAAAACAUUGCUAAAUUUUUACAGAUUAAGCAUGUCUACCAUCUACCCUUCUCUGAAAUUAAAGUGUUAGGUAAUGCAUGCAUUCCAUACAGAUCUAUCAUGGUCCCCGUGUCUGCCCAGCCUGCCCUGUGUUUUAUAUUCCUUCUCUCCUCUCUGCCUGGGCGGAGCUCACUGUGGGCUCCCGCCCUUGGCCCACACACCUGUUCGCGAUUAGCUGUCCACUAUUUGUGGCUCGUCGCUGGAUGAUUGUGCGAGACACGUUAAUGAUCCUCUCAGCUCCCAUUAAUCUUUGCUUAAGUGUUUUGUGAUUUCUGAGUAAUUUCCCUCUCCUUUGUGAUAGUUUUCCUCCCCGGACCUGUGACCUUCCUGCUGUACGAAUGUGUGGGAGUUUGGGCGUGAAGACGAGAAUGAGUGUGAGAGAGUUUCUCCUUGGACCUUUGGAACCAUGGAUUUCCCCCCCCUCAGUGUAUAUAUUCUGCACUGGUGUUGUAAAUAAACUGAGUUUGGAAACGUCAACCUGCUCUGCACUUGAGUCCCUGCUAUUUUUGUUGUCCGCAUUACAUGGUCAGAAAAAAUAAGAAAUUGAUUACAUUUCAUAGUUUAUUUGUCCAGUACUUAAAAAACACAUAUCAUCCUUACAGAAGUGGCGAGUGUUGCCAUAUCAUUAAAAGGAAGAGACUCCCUUCAUACUUUAGUUCAUUGACCCUCCUAGAACACAAAACGAAAUAAUAUAUAAGAUAUUCUCAUAAAUGUCAGUGUACUAGAAAGCUUACAGUUCAAAGUCUGUUUAACAUCCAGAAGUUUCUCACAUAUAGCACAGGUCAGUUUGGAGAAAUGUUGUCUGCAGUGCAGUGCAUGUGUUUUACACCAAUUCCAUGAUGGUCUCUCUUAGAUGCAUGUACAAGUUCACAGCCUAAUAUGGGUCUGUUGGUGGAGUCAGAUGGGACUCAGCCAUAAGGAUAUUACACAGUUCAUAUACAUCUGGAUCACAUGGUUUCAUCAGUCGAAAAACACACUCAUUUUUACACAGUUCAACAUGUUCUUGAACUGGGGCAAAGGAAGUCUGUUGUCCUGUAGAGCUCAGGUAAUGUAAACAUUACAUUAGGCUGACCACUGUGUCAUCCAGCUCAUCCUGUUAAAAAGAAUACAUAAGUUUAAGAAAUGUGUGUGAGAGACAUAUGACUUGCAUAUAUAACUGAAAUAACAAGAGAAAAGAAAAAAAAUGAAACAAAAAGUUUUCAUGAAUAUCGCUGUCUACACAAUGUUUAAGCUAGAAUGAAGUUUGCAAUUUGUCCUGUUACCACCCCCUUAUUUUAAAUGUCAUUAAUUGCAUAUCAGUAUUCAGAAUUCAACAUUAUAUGAUUCAAACUAUAUACAAGUCUACACUCACAUACAACACAUAAACAUACUCACAUAAAACAGUUUCAGCUAAUAAACCAAAACAACAGCAAACUACAUUUU